Molecule: small RNA, 123 nt
Filed under: Marmota monax (woodchuck)
Lineage: Eukaryota; Metazoa; Chordata; Mammalia; Rodentia; Sciuridae
Source: RNAcentral
GCUGGGCACGGUGGCCCAUGCCUGUAAUCCCAGCACCUCAGGAGGAUGAGGCAGGAGGAUUAUGAGUUUAAAGCCAGCCUCAGAAAGAGAGGUGCUAAACAACUCAGUGAGACCCUGUCUCUA